Non-coding RNA from Xyrichtys novacula (pearly razorfish), 383 nucleotides. Lineage: Eukaryota; Metazoa; Chordata; Actinopteri; Labriformes; Labridae. The record is from the annotation of a GenBank genome assembly.
UUGGCGACCGCUUGCUUCUCUAGUUAUACCAACUUUAGUAACGACCGCAGGAUAGAAAUACAGAGAGCCACGCCCCCAACCAAAACGCCACUCUAUAGCCACAAAUAAUGCUCAGAACAGCACCUAACUUCAUCAACAGGACAUAUAGGGUCACAGACAUAGUACUAGACACCAAACAUCUUUUUAACUUUGACUCAUUUCUUUAGCAAAGAGACUAAACACAACUCACCUACUCUCUUCCAGCAGACGCUUGUUUGUAGAGAGACCUCAGGCCAGUCCAUUACGGACUACAGCGGGGUGACGCAGCUCAAGGAAGAACAUUUAUGAUCAUUACUUCAUGGAAAUACAAUCAGACCGAGACGCUAAGACAGAAGAACUACCAC